UGACUACAGGGAUCCAAAUCGCCAGUUCAGCAGCCAGAGGUCUACAGUUCAGGACGAUUAUCUUGACCUGUCUCCACCACAGCAAAAUGAUUAUCUGAAGAGUGUGAUGGGGGGAUCUGCAAGAGGUUCUCUGCUGGAGUCAGAGAGUGCAUUCAUUGGUAAGACCACCAUGAAAUCAAGAUGUGCAACUCUUUUCUUUUG
Molecule: long non-coding RNA, 201 nt
Organism: Xiphias gladius (swordfish)
Lineage: Eukaryota; Metazoa; Chordata; Actinopteri; Istiophoriformes; Xiphiidae
Exons: 3
Source: RefSeq, a predicted model, not a curated record